Molecule: non-coding RNA, 291 nt
Organism: Phascolarctos cinereus (koala)
Lineage: Eukaryota; Metazoa; Chordata; Mammalia; Diprotodontia; Phascolarctidae
Source: RefSeq, a predicted model, not a curated record
GUUUCAGACCUGGGUCUGUUUCCUCAUUUGGGAAAGGAAGAGAUCAGAGUAAAUAACUGUGAAGGUCUGUUCCAGCUCUAACUCCUAUUAUCAAGAGCCACACCAAUGAGGAAACUGAAGCUCAAAGUCACAGUUCACAAGUGGGAGACAAAUGGCUGAGGUUUCCAGUCUCAAUCCAAGUGACCACUCCUUUCCCCACCCCAUUUCCUCAACUGCAUGCUCUCCUGCUUAAGACAUUUCAACAGCUUUGAACUGAAGCAAUACAAGGAUCUAAGACAUCUCCAAAGGCCC